UAGGGAAUCUUCCACAAUGGACGAAAGUCUGAUGGAGCAACGCCGCGUGAGUGAUGAAGGGUUUCGGCUCGUAAAACUCUGUUGUUGGAGAAGAACGGGUGUCAGAGUAACUGUUGACGUCGUGACGGUAUCCAACCAGAAAGCCACGGCUAACUACGUGCCAGCAGCCGCGGUAAUACGUAGGUGGCAAGCGUUGUCCGGAUUUAUUGGGCGUAAAGCGAGCGC
RNAcentral lists this ribosomal RNA (225 nucleotides) under uncultured bacterium. RNAcentral describes it as "partial 16S ribosomal RNA". It matches the Rfam family "Bacterial small subunit ribosomal RNA", at positions 355 to 572 of the family's 1533-position model. The record is from RNAcentral.